RNAcentral lists this ribosomal RNA (296 nucleotides) under Bacillus licheniformis. RNAcentral describes it as "23S rRNA. Bacterial LSU". It matches the Rfam family "Bacterial large subunit ribosomal RNA", at positions 2632 to 2925 of the family's 2925-position model. The record is from RNAcentral. Lineage: Bacteria; Bacillati; Bacillota; Bacilli; Caryophanales; Bacillaceae.
CGGUCCCUAUCCGUCGCGGGCGCAGGAAAUUUGAGAGGAGCUGUCCUUAGUACGAGAGGACCGGGAUGGACGCACCGCUGGUGUACCAGUUGUUCUGCCAAGGGCAUCGCUGGGUAGCUAUGUGCGGACGGGAUAAGUGCUGAAAGCAUCUAAGCAUGAAGCCCCCCUCAAGAUGAGAUUUCCCAUUCCUAUAAGGAAGUAAGAUCCCUGAAAGAUGAUCAGGUUGAUAGGUCUGAGGUGGAAGUGUGGCGACACAUGGAGCUGACAGAUACUAAUCGAUCGAGGACUUAACCUAA